This 566-nucleotide ribosomal RNA is filed under the name uncultured archaeon. RNAcentral describes it as "bacterial SSU rRNA". It matches the Rfam family "Archaeal small subunit ribosomal RNA", at positions 326 to 894 of the family's 1478-position model. The record is from RNAcentral.
CGGGGUGCAGCAGGCGCGAAAACUUUACAAUGCUGGAAACAGCGAUAGGGGGACUUUGAGUGCCAGGAUACAAUUCUGGCUGUCGUCGUGCCUAAAAAGCACGGCAUAGCAAGGGCCGGGCAAGACCGGUGCCAGCCGCCGCGGGAACACCGGCGGCUCGAGUGGUAACCGCUAUUAUUGGGUCUAGAGGGUCUGUAGCCGGCUGAAAAAGUCUCUUGGGAAAUCCGGCAGCUUAACUGUCGGGCUUUCAGGAGAUACUCUUCGGCUCGAGACCGGGAGAGGUGAGAGGUACUUCAUGGGUAGGGGUGAAAUCUUGUAAUCCUUGAAGGACCACCAGUGGCGAAGGCGUCUCACCAGAACGGAUCUGACGGCAAGGGACGAAAGCUAGGGGCACGAACCGGAUUAGAUACCCGGGUAGUCCUAGCCGUAAACGAUACUCGCUAGGUGUCGGCCACGGUGCGACCGUGGUCGGUGCCGUAGGGAAGCCGUGAAGCGAGCCACCUGGGAAGUACGGCCGCAAGGCUGAAACUUAAAGGAAUUGGCGGGGGAGCACAAGGGCGAUUCGC